RNAcentral lists this ribosomal RNA (492 nucleotides) under uncultured bacterium. Its description in RNAcentral is "bacterial SSU rRNA". It matches the Rfam family "Bacterial small subunit ribosomal RNA", at positions 29 to 496 of the family's 1533-position model. The record is from RNAcentral.
AACGAACGCUGGCGGCGUGCCUAACACAUGCAAGUCGAGCGCGAAUGGAGCAAUCCUAGUAGAGCGGCGCACGGGUGCGUAACACGUGGGUAAUCUGCCUCAAAGCUCGGGAUAACUUUCCGAAAGGUUAGCUAAUACCGGAUAAGCUCACGAAGGUCUUCGGAUCUGGUGAGAAAAAUCGGUGGCCUCUAUUUAUAAGCUAUCACUUUGAGAUGAGCCCGCGGCCCAUCAGCUAGUUGGCGGUGUAAGAGACCACCAAGGCAACGACGGGUAGCUGGUCUGAGAGGACGAUCAGCCACACUGGAACUGAGACACGGUCCAGACUCCUACGGGAGGCAGCAGUGGGGAAUUUUCCACAAUGGGCGAAAGCCUGAUGGAGCAACGCCGCGUGUGUGAUGAAGGUCUUCGGGAUCGUAAAGCACUUUCGACUGGGACGAAACAACCCUUGGCUAACACUCAAGGGCUUGACGGUACCAGGAGAAGAAGCACCGG